This is a small nucleolar RNA of Magnolia sinica, 103 nucleotides long. The record is from RefSeq and is a predicted model, not a curated record. Lineage: Eukaryota; Viridiplantae; Streptophyta; Magnoliopsida; Magnoliales; Magnoliaceae.
AGCCAUGCUGUGAACAUGAAUUGAUGAGAUCCUUAUAUUGCUCCCAAUAUUGGAAGGUCUCACCCUUUUUUUGUGUAAAAUUCAUGAUUUCUUUCUUUAGGAU